GACGAACGCUGGCGGCGUGCUUAACACAUGCAAGUCGAACGAUGAAACCUAGCUUGCUAGGUCGAUUAGUGGCGAACGGGUGAGUAACACGUGACUAACCUGCCCCUUUCUCUGGGAUAACGCUCCGAAAGGAGUGCUAAUACCGGAUACUCACACCGAGGCACAUGCCUUGGUGUGGAAAGUUUUUCGGAAAGGGAUGGAGUCGCGGCCUAUCAGCUUGUUGGUGAGGUAACGGCUCACCAAGGCGACGACGGGUAGCCGGCCUGAGAGGGCGACCGGCCACACUGGGACUGAGACACGGCCCAGACUCCUACGGGAGGCAGCAGUGGGGAAUAUUGCACAAUGGGCGCAAGCCUGAUGCAGCGACGCCGCGUGAGGGAUGAAGGCCUUCGGAUUGUAAACCUCUUUCAGUAGGGACGAAGCGAAAGUGACGGUACCUAAAGAAGAAGCACCGGCUAACUACGUGCCAGCAGCCGCGGUAA
This 482-nucleotide ribosomal RNA is filed under the name uncultured bacterium. RNAcentral describes it as "partial 16S ribosomal RNA". It matches the Rfam family "Bacterial small subunit ribosomal RNA", at positions 28 to 523 of the family's 1533-position model. The record is from RNAcentral.